This 253-nucleotide ribosomal RNA is filed under the name uncultured bacterium. RNAcentral describes it as "partial 16S ribosomal RNA". It matches the Rfam family "Bacterial small subunit ribosomal RNA", at positions 524 to 776 of the family's 1533-position model. The record is from RNAcentral.
UACGAAGGGGGCUAGCGUUGUUCGGAAUAACUGGGCGUAAAGCGCACGUAGGCGGAUUUGUAAGUCAGGGGUGAAAUCCCGGGGCUCAACCUCGGAACUGCCUUUGAUACUGCAAGUCUAGAGUCCGGAAGAGGUGAGUGGAAUUCCUAGUGUAGAGGUGAAAUUCGUAGAUAUUAGGAAGAACACCAGUGGCGAAGGCGGCUCACUGGUCCGGAACUGACGCUGAGGUGCGAAAGCGUGGGGAGCAAACAGG